CAAACCCUCUAAUUCAGUCCUCUUCUUGACUCCUUUAUUCACACAAUUAUUUUAUUUUUCUCAUUUUUCUGUAUUAUUUUUUUUUCUUUUCCUUUCUCUUUUUUCAGAACACAACUCUAAGAGACAAGGUACACAACAUAUUUACAAAACAAAACAAGAAAAGGAGCCAACUAACCAAUUCAUCUGAAUAUCCCAAGAGACCACACUUAUUCCCA
RNAcentral lists this long non-coding RNA (215 nucleotides) under Vigna radiata. RNAcentral's name for it is "long non-coding RNA (VRAD_LNC015572)". The record is from RNAcentral. Lineage: Eukaryota; Viridiplantae; Streptophyta; Magnoliopsida; Fabales; Fabaceae.